This 426-nucleotide ribosomal RNA is filed under the name uncultured bacterium. RNAcentral's name for it is "bacterial SSU rRNA". It matches the Rfam family "Bacterial small subunit ribosomal RNA", at positions 354 to 796 of the family's 1533-position model. The record is from RNAcentral.
GUGAGGAAUAUUGCACAAUGGGCGAAAGCCUGAUGCAGCAACGCCGCGUGGGUGAUGAAGGCCUUCGGGUCGUAAAACCCUUUUCUGGGGGACGAGAGAGGACGGUACCCCAGGAAUAAGGUUCGGCUAACUACGUGCCAGCAGCCGCGGUAAAACGUAGGAACCGAGCGUUAUCCGGAUUUACUGGGCGUAAAGCGCCUGCAGGCGGUCUUGUAAGUUGGACGUGAAAUCUCCUGGCUCAACUGGGAGGGGCCGUUCAAUACUGCGAGACUUGAGGGCAAAAGAGGGAAGCGGAACUCCCGGUGUAGUGGUGAAAUGCGUAGAUAUCGGGAGGAACACCAGUGGCGAAGGCGGCUUCCUGGUUUGCACCUGACGCUAAGAGGCGAAAGCUAGGGUAGCGAACGGGAUUAGAUACCCUAGUAGUCC